GAAGCUUGCUUCUUUGCUGACGAGUGGCGGACGGGUGAGUAAUGUCUGGGAAACUGCCUGAUGGAGGGGGAUAACUACUGGAAACGAUAGCUAAUACCGCAUAACGUCGCAAGACCAAAGAGGGGGACCUUCGGGCCUCUUGCCAUCGGAUGUGCCCAGAUGGGAUUAGCUAGUAGGUGGGGUAACGGCUCACCUAGGCGACGAUCCCUAGCUGGUCUGAGAGGAUGACCAGCCACACUGGAACUGAGACACGGUCCAGACUCCUACGGGAGGCAGCAGUGGGGAAUAUUGCACAAUGGGCGCAAGCCUGAUGCAGCCAUGCCGCGUGUAUGAAGAAGGCCUUCGGGUUGUAAAGUACUUUCAGCGGGGAGGAAGGGAGUAAAGUUAAUACCUUUGCUCAUUGACGUUACCCGCAGAAGAAGCACCGGCUAACUCCGUGCCAGCAGCCGCGGUAAUACGGAGGGUGCAAGCGUUAAUCGGAAUUACUGGGCGUAAAGCGCACGCAGGCGGUUUGUUAAGUCAGAUGUGAAAUCCCCGGGCUCAACCUGGGAAACUGCAUCUGAUACUGGCAAGCUUGAGUCUCGUAGAGGGGGGUAGGAUUCCAGGUGUAGCGGUGAAAUGCGUAGAGAUCUGGAGGAAUACCGGUGGCGAAGGCGGCCCCCUGGACGAAGACUGACGCUCAGGUGCGAAAGCGUGGGGAGCAA
Molecule: ribosomal RNA, 704 nt
Filed under: uncultured Escherichia sp.
Lineage: Bacteria; Pseudomonadati; Pseudomonadota; Gammaproteobacteria; Enterobacterales; Enterobacteriaceae
Description: bacterial SSU rRNA
Rfam family: Bacterial small subunit ribosomal RNA
Source: RNAcentral